AGUUGUUUCAUUGCACUGAGCCCUGAGAUUCCCAAGGAGUAACCAUAAAAGAUUUCUUUUAUUUUGUCCAUGACCUACGAGACAGGAUCAUUCUAAGAAGAGCAGGCAUGAGUUUGAGUGCAAGAAGAGUCACUCUGCCUGCAAUAACGCCAAUAAUUCUACAGAAAAGGGUGAUUAAAGUAUACAGUGAAGAUGAAACCAGCAGGGCUUUAGAUGUACCCAGUGACAUAACGGCUCGAGAUGUUUGUCAGCUGUUGAUCCUGAAGAAUCAUUACAUUGAUGACCACAGCUGGACCCUUUUUGAGCACCUGCCUCACAUAGGUGUAGACUACCUGUGGCUCCCUGGAAUGAUCCCCACCUAUCUGUCAUUUCUACUAGCUGUACAUGCCCCCAUUGUACCAUCUUCACAUGUGAUCUGUUUAUGAGAUUUAGUGUUUGUGAGAUCCUGAGGCCUCAUAGAAAGAACAAUAGAAGACCACGAACUGGUGAUUGAAGUGCUAUCCAACUGGGGGAUAGAAGAAGAAAACAAACUAUACUUUAGAAAAAAUUAUGCCAAAUAUGAGUUCUUUAAAAACCCAAUGUAUUUUUUUCCAGAGCAUAUGGUAUCUUUUGCAACUGAAACCAAUGGUGAAAUAUCCCCCACACAGAUUUUGCAGAUGUUUCUGAGUUCAAGCACAUAUCCUGAAAUUCAUGGUUUCUUACAUGCGAAAGAACAGGGAAAGAAGUCUUGGAAAAAAAUUUACUUUUUUCUAAGAAGAUCUGGUUUAUAUUUUUCUACUAAAGGAACAUCAAAGGAACCGCGGCAUUUGCAGUUUUUCAGUGAAUUUGGCAAUAGUGAUAUUUAUGUGUCACUGGCAGGCAAAAAAAAACAUGGAGCACCGACUAACUAUGGAUUCUGCUUUAAGGUACAGGCUUAAUAUUUUGAUAGAUGAAUAAAGCAAGCCUCAGCCUUUUAGGUAAGCUUGAGUUUCUUUUAAUUGCUUU
This 984-nucleotide small RNA is filed under the name Pan troglodytes (chimpanzee). RNAcentral describes it as "retained intron". The record is from RNAcentral. Lineage: Eukaryota; Metazoa; Chordata; Mammalia; Primates; Hominidae.